UUAGAAAAAUGUUUUUUUUGCUUGAUUUCAGAUUAUUCUAUGGAACAGAUUAGUUUGAAAUCAUCAUUUGAAUGACAAGAAAAGAAAUAAAUAAAUAAAAAUCGCCCUCUCUUCGCUACGGAAACUGUAAUUUAUUACUGAUUUCUCCACUAUUUAAUGGAUGUUAUUAUACAUAUAAACCUUCCUUUUCAAUCACUCUAUCUAUUAAAAAAAACCGCAUCAAAUCCGUUGCGUAGUUUUAAAGAUUUAAGCAUACAUAGGGAUAUAGGGACAGAGAAAGCGACUUUGUUUUAAACUAUGUAGUGAUUUAAGCGGUUUACGUGAAUCGUAGACAAAAUUGAUAAUUAUUUUACGGUUAAAUUUCGCAUUUUAUUAUUUGGGACGUUUCGAAUACUUUACUUGAGUCGUCUAUUAUCAAAGGUGGCAAUCUGUGCAUUUGGACAAAAAAAUGUUAUUGAUAUGUCAAUACAGAUUGAUUUGAAUAUAAUCGUCUCCUUCAAAGAAUACGGUUCAAAACCUGCUUUAAAUAAAGGUUAAUACUUAACCUGUUAUUUAUCUAAGAUGACGAUCAGAAGAGUUUUGUGACUGCCAAUGGAAUACAAAGUCAAUAAUUCGUUUUUCUGAUUUACCAAUAAUAAUUGUCCAAAAGUCACAUUGCCGGCUUUGAUAAUAGUCGACUCACUUACAGGUUUUUAAUUGAUUCCGAUCCGGUGGUAGAUUCUGUGAAGCACUGACCUUGCUAGAGCUAGUGUUAGCAAAUUGUCUCAGGUUGAGUCCGUGAGCUCACCUAUCCGUCCGCGAGUAGCUGGAAUAGUCCCUUAAACUCCCAGCGAAUACUUAGGGAAAAAAGUACAGGUUUUAAUGAUCGAAAAUAAUAAAAACAAAAUAAACGACAGAUUAAACCGUAAAAAUUUAAAUUUCAUUAUAUAAUAAAGCAAUAUCACGAAUACUUAACGUGACCAUACGUCCCGCUUUGGGCGAGAUUGUCACGCUUUCAGGCUGUCCGUCCCGUUGUCCCCAACGAGAACAAAAAUGUCCUGCUUUCAUUUAUCUGUUGUGCAUGUGUUUAUUAGAAACUUAUCGAAUACUUAUUUAUCCCAAAUCCUUAUUGUACCUAUUACAAAAUACAUACUAAAGUAACAGUAACUCUAAUUUGCUGUAGAAAAGUUUUUUUUUUUUUUUAAGGGCAAGUUUGUGUAAGAAUUAAGAUGUCAGUGAGGGUAGGAUACCAUAAUAAAUCUGUACCUCAGAGGUAAACAAUAGUAACUCCACAUUUUGUCGAAAUUAAGUUUUUUAUACCAUUAAAAUCGCAAGAACCAGUUCUACAUAAUGGUAUAAAGCAUUAAAUCCUACGUUGCCUAUGAAAAGAGAUAUACAAUGGUAUAUAACAUUAAUUGCACAAAUAUUAACAGGGUAUAGGAUCUCAAAUGAUGUUGAUAUUUUUUGCCUCUAACCACAGCGCGACGUUAAUGCUGUUCAUUGGAUAUAAUGUUCUAUACCUCUUAAAAAACGCGGGGGCGCUCGCGAUACACGUGAAACUGUCGUUGCUUUGAGCGUAUAAAAUAACGCAAUUAAUUGUAUAAAAGUGUAAAAAUAAUAUGUUUUCACGUGGAAAAUUACUAUGUAAUCUUGCAAAUGCCGGAGAACAGUGUAAUGCAACUCCUGAAUAUAAGCCCCGGAGAAAGCAGCAACAUGUACCUGAAUGCCACGAUUCACCCAAAAUGUUAUCGCCAAGGCCUUACAAAGACCUUGAUGUGCAUUUGGAUCCAUCAUAAGAACUACAUACAGAUAAUUUUGAUACAAAAUCAUCCCCCUUCGCUUUAUUUACUGAUAUCUCAAACAAA
Bombyx mori (domestic silkworm) is the source of this 1844-nucleotide long non-coding RNA. RefSeq lists it as uncharacterized. The record is from RefSeq and is a predicted model, not a curated record. Lineage: Eukaryota; Metazoa; Arthropoda; Insecta; Lepidoptera; Bombycidae. The transcript is spliced from 2 exons.